UACGUAGGGGCGAGCGUUGUCCGGAUUUACUGGGCGUAAAGGGUGAGUAGGCGGUUAUAUAUGUCAGGUGUAAAAAGCUAUGGCUUAACCAUAGUAAGCACUUGAAACUGUAUGACUUGAGUGCUGGAGAGGAAAGCGGAAUUCCUAGUGUAGCGGUGAAAUGCGUAGAUAUUAGGAGGAACACCAGUGGCGAAGGCGGCUUUCUGGACUGUAACUGACACUGAGGCACGAAAGCGUGGGGAGCAAACAGGAUUAGAUACCCCGGUAGUCCCU
This 273-nucleotide ribosomal RNA is filed under the name uncultured prokaryote. RNAcentral describes it as "partial 16S ribosomal RNA". It matches the Rfam family "Bacterial small subunit ribosomal RNA", at positions 524 to 798 of the family's 1533-position model. The record is from RNAcentral.